ACAAGCUAUUUUUACAAUACUGUUUAGUUUAUAUUUAUACAUAACUGCACUAUAGCUCAAAAGCCAAGUUCAUAUUAAGGCAUCCUGAUUUUAGGGGUCAUUUUAGUUAGAGGUGCAUGUGGGUCGGUCGAUCGGGAAAAAAUAGAAUAAAAUAAAACCAGGGGAAAAAAUGAAGACUCGCAUCCGUGGAAAGGAAACGAAGGCUUUAUUGAGAUUCUGAUUUAACAGAUCUGCAAGAUAUGCAAAUAUGAGGAUUGCUGCGGUUGAGAUAGCCUAUAGCUAGGCUACGGUUGAGAGGGAUUUAGCCUGCUCAGCAGCCCCACCAUAAAUUUUGAAGCGGAA
Non-coding RNA from Paramuricea clavata, 342 nucleotides. The record is from the annotation of a GenBank genome assembly. NCBI's taxonomy places the organism in Eukaryota, Metazoa, Cnidaria, Anthozoa, Malacalcyonacea, Plexauridae.